AGGGGGGUUGCAAGUGUCCAGCCAGGCCUCCAGUCAUCAUCAGUGGCCUGCAGUGUGCCAGGACUCACAGAAAUCUCACCCCCCCACCAGCCAUGCCAGGGAAAGUGACAGGGACACUGGUCUCUCCAGAGAGGGCAGUACUCUAAAGCCAAGGGCAGAGGCAGAAGGACAACGUCUCAGUGUCACGCGUCCUUUCCGCUUCUCUGCCACCCAGGCCUGUUCUAUAAAGGAAAAACAAUGACUUAUUUAUUAGGUAAGCAUAUUCCAUACCCACCACGCACCCUGUGCUUUGUGCUGCGGGCACUUCUCAUAAACGGGGGUCCUCCUCCUGCCUACAGGAGCUGUCCCCAAACAAGGGGCCCUGAUGAAAAUCUGCAUCCUAACUCAGUGGAGAGUUAAGCUGGGAUAUGAAGACUUUGACUCAGUGUUCCCGGGGCCAAGUCUCACCGAUGGUCAGAGUGCUCUCAUUUCCCUGUGAUAAUCCAGGGACGUAUAGGAGAAAGCAGAGAACGUCAUGCAGUGGGGUGAAGAGAGGACAAUGAGGAUGGCUUGUUCCUUUGCCUGGAAACCCAGCAGAGCCCAAGACUGUAAGGGAGUCUCUUCACCAAGAGCUACUAACUGAGAGUGCUUAAUCGUGAUGAUGCUAUCAACCUAUUAACC
Molecule: long non-coding RNA, 660 nt
Filed under: Fukomys damarensis (Damara mole-rat)
Lineage: Eukaryota; Metazoa; Chordata; Mammalia; Rodentia; Bathyergidae
Description: lncRNA (ENSFDAG00000025129.1)
Source: RNAcentral